UACGGGGGGAGCAAGCGUUGGUCGGAUUUACUGGGCGUAAAGGGCGCGUAGGCGGCCAGCACAAGUCAGUUGUGAAAUCUCCGAGCUUAACUCGGAAAGGUCAACUGAUACUGUGCGGCUAGAGUGCGGAAGGGGCAACUGGAAUUCUUGGUGUAGCGGUGAAAUGCGUAGAUAUCAAGAGGAACACCUGCGGCGAAGGCGGGUUGCUGGGCCGACACUGACGCUGAGGCGCGAAAGCCAGGGGAGCGAACGGG
This 254-nucleotide ribosomal RNA is filed under the name uncultured bacterium. Its description in RNAcentral is "partial 16S ribosomal RNA". It matches the Rfam family "Bacterial small subunit ribosomal RNA", at positions 524 to 776 of the family's 1533-position model. The record is from RNAcentral.